CAGUCUCUUUCUAAUUAAAUAGAUCCUUUUUUUAUUCCAAUUAGAUUAUGGUGCUGUUUCUCAAAGAGACCAAGUCCCUGAGUUGAAGAUCUUUAAAGGGCUUUAUUCCUUUAAAAAGGUGCCAUUCCAGCCCUUUCCAGCUCUCACCUCCCCACUCCCUUAUAAGUGACACCGCCUUUCCCCACCAGGCCCUGACUCAGGCUCCAGAGAAGACUGACCAUGACCCUGUGCCACGCCAGGGGCCCAGGCAGGACCUUUAGUGACCUUUCCUGGAGGUGGGUACUCUGUGAAGAGGUGAGCAGCUAUAAUAAGUGAUUUGUCUUGCCAGAAGUUAGGGUGGGUUUGGGUUCUCCCUUUGAAACACGGGGGCUGAAGAGCACUCUCUGGUGUCUUUAUGGGAGAAGAGAGCGUCCAGAGUUGGCCAACGCUGGGGGCAGUUAUCUGCGCAGCCUGCCAGGUCUGCAAGAAAGGGGACUGCAGCCGUGACCCCUAAGUUAGGGCCAUAGGUCCCAAAGCUAAUUUGUUUGAUAUUAAUAAAAAUUAUAAUUAUUAUCUAUUUUAAAAUAGAGUGAUAGGGUUGGAAACAUGGUAUUUCACGACUGCAUUGUCCUAACAACUCUUUCUCACGUGGUUCUGGAAUUCCUUCCCACCGUGUAGCUAUUCUGGUAGUGCACGCAUGUGCACCUGCUUUAUGUCCUUGCAGUCCAUAUCAAACCUUCCUUUUUGUACGUUACUGUUUGUUUUCUAAACCUAGUCCAUGUAAUUCCUGUAUUCGCCAAUGUUCUUAAACAUACCAACACAGGCACGGCCCAUGGCUGCUGCCUGCAGACCAGCUCGUGGCUCAAAGCAACACACAGACCUGAGGCUGCUAUCUUUACUGAGCUCUGUUCACACCCUAGAAGGGUGUCUGCAGCUCGGUGAAGCAAUAAAGGGUGCUUGCCAUUAUUAUUAUGUUCCGAAGGCUAAUAGGCAGGGUGUUUAAAAAUAGCUGCCUGCCUUUCAAUAUGUAAGAGCAGAGUUGGAGAACAUACAUUGACGUAAGAAUGCAAAUCCAACCAAAAUAUCCGAAUCCCUGCAGAAAGAGCACAGGGUUCCAGUAGUGAUUCUGCAGUAACUCCCUGUGUGACUCUAGACCCUUAACCAGUGGCUCUGUCUGUAACGUGAGGGAUUCCUCUAGAUUACCUCUAAGGGGUCCUGUUUUGGGUUGUGGAUAACUUAGAAAAUAUAUUUAAACACAUAUCAAAGUCGAAUUGUACGAUAAAGUUCCACAGCCCUACGGACUGGUUUUGACAACGAUCAUUAAAUCUUAUGUUGUUCGUAUCCUCACAGUUUGAUUAUCACAUUCACUUUAUUAAUUUAUUAUUAUAAUUCUUAGAUUCCUGGAUAAAAUGACACCCAUUUUUCUUAGGAUCAAAACAAGAUGGCUUCCACCAGAGAAAGAAAGGCCAGGCACGGAACUGGUCCCCACGUGGCUGGCCAUUACAACUGCUGCUUCUCCCUGCUCCCAUCUCAUCCCCACGAAUGUCCCACUCAUGGGUGGCCCUGAGUCAUCGUAGAACAGUGUGUCCAUGCCUCUGCUUCCUCAGGCCCCAGGCAUCUCAUGGAGAGUCCUUUCUAGACUGCCAUCUCAUGCCAGAGGGUGGAGGGAUUUCCGCCUGGCUUACCACAGUUGUGUGUGGUUUGUUUGCUGGCAUUCUUUAGCAGCAACUGCUUGAGAGCCAGUUCUUCAAUUCUAGGCAGUCGAUUCACCCAGCAUCUUGCCAGAAGUUGGCUCAGAAUAACAGGCAGCUCUCCAUGCUCAUCCUUCCCGUAGCAUUUCAAGGUAACUGUCCAUCUCCUUCACUCUAGAGCAAGAAGAAAGGAGAAGCCUCUUCUAUCCAUUCUGUUCUGUCUCCUGCACUUUGUCCUGUGAGUGGAGUCAAGUUAAAGGAGCUUCUUUCACUUCCCCAGAGACUCCACCAGGACCUCACAUUCCCAAGGGCAUUGUAGCUGCCAUUCCAUCUGUUCUAGGGAGAACAUUCAUGAACCCUGAAAGGCUGUCCUCUUCUCCAGCUGAGCAUAGGUUUCGCUCGGGCGUACAGGCAGCAGACCUGGUUUUCCAGGACACGUGCCAUUCAAGGCCAUUGGGAUGGGCUGAAAGGUUGAUAGCAAAGGUCUUGAUCUAUCUUUUGCAGGAACCUUGGUGCUUCCAUCUUCCACUUGCCAGUCGGGUGACCACAGAAAAGAGAUUCUGGAGAGUAGAAACUUCGGUCAAGUUGCCCCAAGUCAGGGAUGAGCCUUCUUUCCAUGGAGCCUUCCAAAGGGCAAGCCGUCUGCUACUGUGUACUGUAAAUUCAGAGCUUCAGGAGCUGAGGCCUCCUGUGCUUGGGGGAAAGGUAGCUGAGGAGAAAGGGACACCUUCUCACCUUUUGUUUACCUUUGAUCUGGCUGAACUUAGCUGCCCUUAACUUCUAGUUUGCUUAAGUCCUUAUUGCCUUAAUAACCACCUAAUAAGCAGUCAGAACCAGGAGAGAAGCCCCUCCCGUGGAAUCCAUUGCAAGCCUGUCCCCAGUCUCCCCACUGCUGCUAUGCCUGAAAAGAGCCCCAGCCCCGUCUCCAAAGCCCAGGGUUCGCCUCUUGCUGAAAGAGCAACGUUCCCAGGCUGAGGACAAACCCAGGACUGCUCAGGCGGAGAGAUCCCUGCCCCCACGUUCACCACUGACAACCCAACUCCAUCCUCAGUCUCCGUGGCUUCAGAUCUGGACUCCGCACCCUCCUCCACCUCCACCUCUCUUCCCAGAGACCCUCCCCACAUCAUGCUCAGUGCUGUUUCUGAAGACCAUCUAGACUUUUGUGUUCUCUGGAACAUUCUACUCACCUUCAGCUGCAGCACAUUUCUUCAGCCUCUCCACCAAGCUCUUUAAAAUGAAAGGCAGUUACUGUCUUCCCUUGGACAAUAAUGAAUGUAUCUACUGUAUGUGCAGACCAUGUCGAGAAGUGGCUGGGUUAAGAAAAAAGAGGGUUUUUGUAAAGCCUGUUUAUUUUUUUAAGUCAGUUUUGAGCAUUUCUAUUUUACCACCCUUCACAUGGUUUUGGGGAACCCAAAUUGUAUCAAGGUCUCAUGCCAAAACAAGCCAAAAGUUGUUUUCUUUACCUUUUUCCUCCAUGCACCAUGAUUUCAAUGAUUGUUUCAGUGUCAUUUUAAAUGUUUUCUUGUGACAUGUACUGAUGAUAAAAGUCAUCUUGACAAAAAAAAAAAAAAAAGAUUUAUACAUGAAUCAGAAAGUAUUUAUUUCAAUUUUGUACCUUUCCAUUUUAAUACAUUAUAAUGUAUUGACUCAACGGAGAUAAUAUAAACAGUUCAUUUUAAUAA
RNAcentral lists this long non-coding RNA (3352 nucleotides) under Homo sapiens (human). RNAcentral's name for it is "non-protein coding lnc-PINX1-2:1". Lineage: Eukaryota; Metazoa; Chordata; Mammalia; Primates; Hominidae. The record is from RNAcentral.